Aedes albopictus (Asian tiger mosquito) is the source of this 73-nucleotide non-coding RNA. The record is from Rfam. NCBI's taxonomy places the organism in Eukaryota, Metazoa, Arthropoda, Insecta, Diptera, Culicidae.
UGUUCUGCGGCUUAGUUGGUUAAAGCGCCGGACUAGCGAUGCGAUGUCGUGGGUUCGAAUCCCACCAAAACAA